Molecule: long non-coding RNA, 1256 nt
Organism: Xiphophorus couchianus (Monterrey platyfish)
Lineage: Eukaryota; Metazoa; Chordata; Actinopteri; Cyprinodontiformes; Poeciliidae
Exons: 2
Source: RefSeq, a predicted model, not a curated record
CGUGGAGGGAAAGAGAAGGAACCACGAUAACAGGAAUCCCACUAACAGCCCUACUUAGUGAUUAUAAAUUAUUAAAACAGCAGAUCCCAGAAGACUCUAUGACUGGUAGCUUCCUCAAGUCCUGGCAGGAAUUGGCUAAAAUUUGUAGAAUAUGAGACAUAUCUAAAAUGUCUAAAAUUAUGCAAAAUGAUUCAGAUUUUACACCAAAUAGAAUUGAUAUGGUAAUUCAAGUUAUGGACCUCAAAAGGAUUAACUACCUAUUAUUCAUUUGCCCACAAAGGGAUAUUUCAGAGUUUUGAAACCUUACAGACGGAUCAUGGACUGGAAAAGAUUAUUUUUUAGGUACCUGACAUUAUUUUAAUAGAAACUUUAAGGAGGUGUUGAGAAAAAAUGAUUCAAGUUUCAUGGAGGUAUUUCUAUCACUAAUUAAUCCCAGAUCAGACAGCAGAAUUAUCUCUAAAUUAUAUAAUGCCAUACAGCUAUCUAAACAUGAGAAUACAGAAUAUACUGUAUAAAGAGGAAAAGGAAAUGAAGGUAUUAAUCCCACAAGAAGGCUGGGAGGAAAUCUGUCAGCCGCACUGAGUCUCCACCGGAUCAAACACAUGGCGGGAGUUUUGCUGGAAAAACCAUUUUUUGUUCCACCCAUUCAGAGACGAUAUGAAAGCAACGGGACGCCUGCUGGAGACUUGGUGGGUCCAACGGAGCCAAACCACCUCCAUGUUUUUGGGACUGGCAGUUGGACACAUGGACCAACAAAGACUAAAAACUGCUGGUUAUACUGGCAGCCAGUAAGAAAUCCAUCACCAGGAAAUGGCUUCAACUGGAUCCACCCACCAUCGACGAAUGGAUUGAAAUUGUUUACCAGAUUUAUCUUAUGGAAAAGAUUUAUUUUUCCCUCCAAGUUGAAAAAGGAAAGUUUUAUAAGAUCAGGACCAAAUGGACUGAGUAUGUAAAACCAAUUGGAUCCGACUUCAGUUGACUGUACUUUGAAUUAUGUGCCCUGCACUUUUAUGUUCUUGUGGUUUUUAUUGAUGGAGAUGGUGCAUUCCCCUUUAUUGUUCAAUUCUGUUCACUUUUGUUAUUUUUCACAACAAAAAUUAGUAAUAAUCUGUAAAAGAAAAUACCAGAAAGGCAGUAUGGACAAAAUCACUUGGACUCUCUGGUUGUAAACUCAUGUAUGAUCUUAAAUGGGUAAAGCUGUAAUUAACGAAUGUGAUGGGAAUCUGUCUUUCUAAAUAAAAAAAUAAUUACAAAAA